RNAcentral lists this transfer RNA (63 nucleotides) under Amazonina sp. Z256E. Its description in RNAcentral is "tRNA-Glu". Lineage: Eukaryota; Metazoa; Arthropoda; Insecta; Blattodea; Pseudophyllodromiidae. The record is from RNAcentral.
ACUUAUAUAGUUUAAAUAAAAACAUUAUAUUUUCAAUAUAAAAAUAAGACAUUUUUAUAAGUC